Molecule: long non-coding RNA, 167 nt
Organism: Leopardus geoffroyi (Geoffroy's cat)
Lineage: Eukaryota; Metazoa; Chordata; Mammalia; Carnivora; Felidae
Exons: 2
Source: RefSeq, a predicted model, not a curated record
UGCCCACCCUAUGUCAUCCGAAGAGGGGAAGAAAACACUCUGGCCUGACAGGAUUAUUGUAUAUGCAAACAUCUUAACCUAUUUUACUGAGCACUGAUAGGUCCUUUAAAUGAACUAAACACUACUAUAAAUAUUAUGAGGCUUUCCCAUAGAAUGGGAACAAACUA